GCUUACGGCCAUACCACCCUGAACACGCCCACCUCGUCUGAUCUCGGAAGCUAAGCAGGGUCGGGCCUGGUCAGUACUUGGAUGGGAGACCGCCUGGGAAUACCAGGUGCUGUAAGCU
Oreochromis niloticus (Nile tilapia) is the source of this 118-nucleotide ribosomal RNA. Lineage: Eukaryota; Metazoa; Chordata; Actinopteri; Cichliformes; Cichlidae. The record is from Ensembl.